Molecule: ribosomal RNA, 460 nt
Filed under: uncultured bacterium
Lineage: Bacteria
Description: partial 16S ribosomal RNA
Rfam family: Bacterial small subunit ribosomal RNA
Source: RNAcentral
CCUACGGGUGGCAGCAGUGAGGAAUCUUGGUCAAUGGGCGCGAGCCUGAACCAGCCAAGCAGCGUGAAGGAUGACUGCCCUACGGGUUGUAAACUUCUUUUAUAAAGGAGUAAAGUGAGGCACGUGUGUCUUUUUGUACGUACUGUAUGAAUAAGGAUCGGCUAACUCCGUGCCAGCAGCCGCGGUAAUACGGAGGAUCCGAGCGUUAUCCGGAUUUAUUGGGUUUAAAGGGAGCGUAGAUGGGUUGGUAAGUCAGUUGUGAAAGUUUGCGGCUCAACCGUAGAAUUGCAAUUGAUACUGGCAGUCUUGAGUGCAGGUGAGGUAGGCGGAAUGCAUGGUGUAGCGGUGAAAUGCUUAGAUAUCACGAAGAACACCGAUUGCGAAGGCAGCUUACUAGACUGCCACUGACGUUGAGGCUCGAAAGCGUGGGGAGCAAACAGGAUUAGAUACCCUUGUAGUC